Molecule: ribosomal RNA, 443 nt
Filed under: uncultured bacterium
Lineage: Bacteria
Description: partial 16S ribosomal RNA
Rfam family: Bacterial small subunit ribosomal RNA
Source: RNAcentral
ACUACGGGUGGCAGCAGUGGGGAAUAUUGGGCAAUGGGCGCAAGCCUGACCCAGCAACGCCGCGUGAAGGAUGAAGGCUUUCGGGUUGUAAACUUCUUUUCUCAGGGACGAAGCAAGUGACGGUACCUGAGGAAUAAGCCACGGCUAACUACGUGCCAGCAGCCGCGGUAAUACGUAGGUGGCAAGCGUUAUCCGGAUUUACUGGGUGUAAAGGGCGUGUAGGCGGGAAGGCAAGUCAGAUGUGAAAACCAUGGGCUCAACCUGUGGCUUGCAUUUGAUACUGUGUUUCUUGAGUACAGGAGAGGCAGGCGGAAUUCCUAGUGUAGCGGUGAAAUGCGUAGAUAUUAGGAGGAACACCAGUGGCGAAGGCGGUCUGCUGGACAGCAACUGACACUGAGGCGCGAAAGCGUGGGGAGCAAACAGGAUUAGAUACCCUUGUAGUC